RNAcentral lists this ribosomal RNA (485 nucleotides) under uncultured bacterium. RNAcentral's name for it is "bacterial SSU rRNA". It matches the Rfam family "Bacterial small subunit ribosomal RNA", at positions 28 to 526 of the family's 1533-position model. The record is from RNAcentral.
GAUGAACGCUGGCGGCGUGCUUAACACAUGCAAGUCGAACGGUGAAGCAGAGCUUGCUCUGUGGAUCAGUGGCGAACGGGUGAGUAACACGUGAGCAAUCUGCCCCUGACUCUGGGAUAACAGUUGGAAACAGCUGCUAAUACCGGAUACGAGCUGCGAAGGCAUCUUCGGCAGCUGGAAAGAAUUUCGGUCAGGGAUGAGCUCGCGGCCUAUCAGCUUGUUGGUGAGGUAAUGGCUCACCAAGGCGUCGACGGGUAGCCGGCCUGAGAGGGAGACCGGCCACACUGGGACUGAGACACGGCCCAGACUCCUACGGGAGGCAGCAGUGGGGAAUAUUGCACAAUGGGCGGAAGCCUGAUGCAGCAACGCCGCGUGAGGGAUGACGGCCUUCGGGUUGUAAACCUCUUUUAGCAGGGAAGAAGCGAAAGUGACGGUACCUGCAGAAAAAGCACCGGCUAACUACGUGCCAGCCGCCGCCGUAACAC